GAUCCUGGCUCAGGAUGAACGCUAGCUACAGGCUUAACACAUGCAAGUCGAGGGGCAUCAGGAAGAAAGCUUGCUUUCUUUGCUGGCGACCGGCGCACGGGUGAGUAACACGUAUCCAACCUGCCCUUUACUCGGGGAUAGCCUUUCGAAAGAAAGAUUAAAUACCCGAUGGCAUAAUGAUUCCGCAUGGUUUCAUUAUUAAAAGGAUUUCCGGUAAAGGAUGGGGAUGCGUUCCAUUAGGUUGUUGGUGAGG
Molecule: ribosomal RNA, 253 nt
Filed under: uncultured bacterium
Lineage: Bacteria
Description: partial 16S ribosomal RNA
Rfam family: Bacterial small subunit ribosomal RNA
Source: RNAcentral